CGUCAUUGCAUAAUCUCAAGCCUAGCUUGGUAUUGGGUUCUUCGUCCCUCGGGACGGGCCUCAAAGUUAGUGGCGGUGCCACCGAGCCUCAAGCGUAGCAGAAAUUCCUCGCUUUGGAGAGUCGGUUUUGGGUCACUAGCCUUACAACCCAACUUAAUAAGUUUGACCUCGGAUCAGGUAGGGAUACCCGCUGAACUUAA
Molecule: unclassified non-coding RNA, 200 nt
Filed under: soil metagenome
Description: partial contains internal transcribed spacer 2 and large subunit ribosomal RNA
Source: RNAcentral